Astyanax mexicanus (Mexican tetra) is the source of this 1103-nucleotide long non-coding RNA. RefSeq lists it as uncharacterized. NCBI's taxonomy places the organism in Eukaryota, Metazoa, Chordata, Actinopteri, Characiformes, Acestrorhamphidae. The record is from RefSeq and is a predicted model, not a curated record. The transcript is spliced from 5 exons.
CAUAUUGGAAAUAUUUGACAAUCAGGCAGACCUUCCACUGUUUGUGCAGUCUCCUAACUGACUCCUGCAGACCCUGCUGUUCCUCUUCUGGCAAGAUAUCUGUCAGAUCAUCACAUGCCUUCAGACAUGCCUGCCCCACCCGCAGGGCCUUUUCCAGCUCAGCUCGGGACUCCUCAAAGCGCCGGGUCAGGUUACCAUUGGUCUCAGCAACUCUCCUCCACUCCAGAGCUUCCUGCAUCAGCACCUACAGACAUGAUGGAGAUACCUCUUUAUAAAUCCGGUUCUGCAGGCUAACCUGAGCUGUGGUCUGAAGCUCGGUUACUCUGUUCUGCAGCAGAGACGGGUCGAAGUUGUAGAGAGUCUUAGUGCAGCACAGCGCCCUCUGAAGUGCCAGGAGCAGCAGCUGGUGCUUUAGAUCGCGGGACACAGUCUCAUCACACGUCUCUAUGAGGAAGUUUCCUGAAUCGUUCAUGGUUGUGUGUUGAUCCAUCCAGUGUGGAAGAUUCCUGAAGAACUCCUAAAGAGGGCUGGUGCAAUGCAACCUGAGCAUCCUCCAGCCAGGCCUGUAGAGAGGACACAGCACUGCUGUAUUUCUCCCAGUUCCCCUCCACCUCCUUCAGCAUGGACCUCACACUGCGGAUCUCCACCGCCAGACUCCUCCACUGAUCAGCCAUGUCCCUCAGAAACCUCCUCACAGCUUCUUCAGCUACAUGUAUACAUACACAUAUACACACAGACAUGAACAUAUACACUCAUCAACAGGUUUCUGUACUUUAAUAUUAGAGUAUGUUUUUCCUAUAAGAUGGACAAAAUGUGAGAAAUAAAAUUACAGGGACCCCAUGUAAUAGAGCAAGCAGGACAAACAAGACAUAUCGGAACACCUAAAAUUAAGCAUAUUAAAAAUAGUGUAUCCAUCUUUUGUCAGGGUAACAUCGAUAUUAACACAAUCAUCAAUCACAAAAGUUUUGGAUGGAGGUCCACCUUUUCUUUAAAACACAGUUCCACUAAUCCACAGAUUAAUACUGGGAUUUAUUAGGCAUGGUGCCAAUAGGUACAGCUUUAUCCCCUCAAUACAGUCCUAUUAAAUUGACAAUACUUCUCUA